UACAGAGGGUGCAAGCGUUAAUCGGAAUUACUGGGCGUAAAGGGUGCGUAGGCGGUAGAUUGGGUGUGAUGUGAAAGCCUCGGGCUUAACCUGAGAAGUGCAUCGCAAACUAAUCAACUGGAGUAUAUGAGAGGGUGGCGGAAUUUCCGGUGUAGCGGUGAAAUGCGUAGAGAUCGGAAGGAACGUCAAUGGCGAAGGCAGCCACCUGGCAUAAUACUGACGCUGAGGCACGAAAGCGUGGGGAGCGAACAGG
Molecule: ribosomal RNA, 253 nt
Filed under: uncultured bacterium
Lineage: Bacteria
Description: partial 16S ribosomal RNA
Rfam family: Bacterial small subunit ribosomal RNA
Source: RNAcentral